This 429-nucleotide ribosomal RNA is filed under the name uncultured Vibrionaceae bacterium. Its description in RNAcentral is "bacterial SSU rRNA". It matches the Rfam family "Bacterial small subunit ribosomal RNA", at positions 355 to 776 of the family's 1533-position model. Lineage: Bacteria; Pseudomonadati; Pseudomonadota; Gammaproteobacteria; Vibrionales; Vibrionaceae. The record is from RNAcentral.
UGGGGAAUAUUGCACAAUGGGCGCAAGCCUGAUGCAGCCAUGCCGCGUGUAUGAAGAAGGCCUUCGGGUUGUAAAGUACUUUCAGUUGUGAGGAAGGGGGUAGCGUUAAUAGCGCUAUCUCUUGACGUUAGCAACAGAAGAAGCACCGGCUAACUCCGUGCCAGCAGCCGCGGUAAUACGGAGGGUGCGAGCGUUAAUCGGAAUUACUGGGCGUAAAGCGCAUGCAGGUGGUUCAUUAAGUCAGAUGUGAAAGCCCGGGGCUCAACCUCGGAACUGCAUUUGAAACUGGUGAACUAGAGUACUGUAGAGGGGGGUAGAAUUUCAGGUGUAGCGGUGAAAUGCGUAGAGAUCUGAAGGAAUACCAGUGGCGAAGGCGGCCCCCUGGACAGAUACUGACACUCAGAUGCGAAAGCGUGGGGAGCAAACAGG